GCUUCGGUAGCCUAAGUGGUUAGAGCGUCCGCCUCGAAUGCGGGAGGUAGCGAGUUCGAACCACAGCCAAAUCA
This is a non-coding RNA of Potamilus streckersoni, 74 nucleotides long. NCBI's taxonomy places the organism in Eukaryota, Metazoa, Mollusca, Bivalvia, Unionida, Unionidae. The record is from the annotation of a GenBank genome assembly.